Molecule: transfer RNA, 74 nt
Filed under: Candidatus Bathyarchaeota archaeon
Lineage: Archaea; Thermoproteati; Candidatus Bathyarchaeota
Also listed under: 1 other name
Description: tRNA-Lys
Rfam family: tRNA
About the family: Transfer RNA (tRNA) molecules are approximately 80 nucleotides in length.
Source: RNAcentral
GGGCCCGUAGCUUAGCAAGGUAGAGCGACGGGCUCUUAACCCGUAGGUCGCGGGUUCGAAUCCCGCCGGGCCCG